UAAACCGUACUGAAAACCGACACAGGUGGUCAGGUAGAGAAUACUCAGGCGCUUGAGAGAACUCGGGUGAAGGAACUAGGCAAAAUAGCACCGUAACUUCGGGAGAAGGUGCGCUGGCGUAGGUUGUAGGAGUAUACCUCCGAAGGCUGAACCAGUCGAAGAUACCAGCUGGCUGCAACUGUUUAUUAAAAACACAGCACUCUGCAAACACGAAAGUGGACGUAUAGGGUGUGAUGCCUGCCCGGUGCUGGAAGGUUAAUUGAUGGUGUAAUCGAAAGAGAAGCUCCUGAUCGAAGCCCCAGUAAACGGCGGCCGUAACUAUAACGGUCCUAAGGUAGCGAAAUUCCUUGUCGGGUAAGUUCCGACCUGCACGAAUGGCAUAAUGAUGGCCAGGCUGUCUCCACCCGAGACUCAGUGAAAUUGAAAUCGCCGUGAAGAUGCGGUGUACCCGCGGCUAGACGGAAAGACCCCGUGAACCUUUACUAUAGCUUGACACUGAACAUUGAAUUUUGAUGUGUAGGAUAGGUGGGAGCCUAAGAAGCAGUCACGCCAGUGAUUGUGGAGGCGUCCUUGAAAUACCACCCUUUAACGUUUGAUGUUCUAACGAAGAUUGCGAAACGCGGUCUCGGACAGUGUCUGGUGGGUAGUUUGACUGGGGCGGUCUCCUCCCAAAGAGUAACGGAGGAGCACGAAGGUUUGCUAAUCACGGUCGGACAUCGUGAGGUUAGUGCAAUGGUAUAAGCAAGCUUAACUGCGAGACAGACAAGUCGAGCAGGUGCGAAAGCAGGUCAUAGUGAUCCGGUGGUUCUGAAUGGAAGGGCCAUCGCUCAACGGAUAAAAGGUACUCCGGGGAUAACAGGCUGAUACCGCCCAAGAGUUCAUAUCGACGGCGGUGUUUGGCACCUCGAUGUCGGCUCAUCACAUCCUGGGGCUGAAGUAGGUCCCAAGGGUAUGGCUGUUCGCCAUUUAAAGUGGUACGCGAGCUGGGUUUAGAACGUCGUGAGACAGUUCGGUCCCUAUCUGCCGUGGGCGUUGGAGAAUUGAGAGGGGCUGCUCCUAGUACGAGAGGACCGGAGUGGACGCAUCACUGGUGUACCAGUUGUCUCGCCAGAGGCACUGCUGGGUAGCUAAAUGCGGAAGAGAUAAGUGCUGAAAGCAUCUAAGCACGAAACUCGCCUUAAGAUGAGUUCUCCCACACAAUAAGUGUGUAAGGGUUGUUGGAGACUACGACGUAGAUAGGUCUGGUGUGUAAGCGGUGUGAGCCGUUGAGCUAACAGAUACUAAUUGCCCGAGAGGCUUAACUAU
Molecule: ribosomal RNA, 1305 nt
Filed under: Glaesserella parasuis
Lineage: Bacteria; Pseudomonadati; Pseudomonadota; Gammaproteobacteria; Pasteurellales; Pasteurellaceae
Description: partial 23S ribosomal RNA
Rfam family: Bacterial large subunit ribosomal RNA
Source: RNAcentral